RNAcentral lists this ribosomal RNA (271 nucleotides) under uncultured bacterium. Its description in RNAcentral is "partial 16S ribosomal RNA". It matches the Rfam family "Bacterial small subunit ribosomal RNA", at positions 524 to 794 of the family's 1533-position model. The record is from RNAcentral.
CACGUAGGGGGCGAGCGUUGUUCGGAAUUACUGGGCGUAAAGGGCAUGUAGGCGGCCUUGUAAGCCUGGCGUGAAAGUCCACAGCUUAACUGUGGGAUUGCGUUGGGAACUAGAUGACUAGAGUUACGGAGAGGGAGCUAGAAUUCCUGGUGUAGGGGUGGAAUCUGUAGAGAUCAGGAAGAAUACCGAUGGCGAAGGCAAGCUCCUGGCCGAUGACUGACGCUGAGGUGCGAAAGUGUGGGGAUCAAACAGGAUUAGAAACCCCAGUAGU